GACGAACGCUGGCGGCGUGGAUUGGGCAUGCAAGUCGAACGGUAUCAUCCUUUCGGGGGUGAGAGAGUGGCGAACUGGUGAGUAACACGUAGGUUAUCUACCCUCAAGACGGGGACAACCCAGGGAAACUUGGGCUAAUACCGGAUGUGAGCAACUUUUAGUUGUUUGAAAGGUGGCGUAAGCUGUCGCUUGGGGAUGAGCCUGCGUCCUAUUAGUUAGUUGGUGAGGUAACGGCUCACCUAGGCAAUGAUAGGUAGGCGGCCUUAACGGGUGGUCGCCCACACUGGGAUUGAGAUACGGCCCAGACUCCUACGGGAGGCAGCAGUCGAGAAUAGUCUACAAUGGUCGGAAGACUGAUAGUGCGACGCCGCGUGAACGAUGAAUCCCUUCGGGGUGUUAAAGUUCUUUUAUAUGUGAGCAGUGCUUCUUAUAUUAACAGUAUGGGGAGAGAGAUAUUAGCAUAUGAAUAAGCAACGGCUAACUCCGUGCCAGCACGCCGACGGU
This 504-nucleotide ribosomal RNA is filed under the name uncultured bacterium. RNAcentral describes it as "bacterial SSU rRNA". It matches the Rfam family "Bacterial small subunit ribosomal RNA", at positions 28 to 521 of the family's 1533-position model. The record is from RNAcentral.